GCGGAAGUGGCUCAGUGGUAGAGCAUCACCUUGCCAAGGUGAGGGUCGCGGGUUCGAAUCCCGUCUUCCGCUCCG
RNAcentral lists this transfer RNA (75 nucleotides) under Microbispora hainanensis. RNAcentral's name for it is "tRNA-Gly". It matches the Rfam family "tRNA". Rfam says of the family: Transfer RNA (tRNA) molecules are approximately 80 nucleotides in length. RNAcentral also lists the same sequence under 7 other names. The record is from RNAcentral. Lineage: Bacteria; Bacillati; Actinomycetota; Actinomycetes; Streptosporangiales; Streptosporangiaceae.